Molecule: non-coding RNA, 87 nt
Organism: Pelobates cultripes (western spadefoot toad)
Lineage: Eukaryota; Metazoa; Chordata; Amphibia; Anura; Pelobatidae
Source: the annotation of a GenBank genome assembly
CUGUAUGUGUGUGUGUGUGUGUGUCUCUGUAUGCAUGUGUCUGUAUGAUAUAGACACAUACAUACAGAGACACACACAUACAGACAC